Molecule: ribosomal RNA, 228 nt
Filed under: uncultured bacterium
Lineage: Bacteria
Description: partial 16S ribosomal RNA
Rfam family: Bacterial small subunit ribosomal RNA
Source: RNAcentral
AGUGGCGGACGGGUGAGGAACACGUGGGGAUCGACCCUGAGGUGAGGAAUACCACCGGGAAACCGGUGACAAUACCGCAUACGCUUGGCAACAAGCAAAGCUCGUAAGAGCGCCACAGGACGAACCUGCGCCCGAUUAGCUAGUUGGUGGGGUAAAAGCUUACCAAGGCGACGAUCGGUAGCUGGUCUGAGAGGACGAUCAGCCACACUGGGAUUGAGAACGGCCCAG